CAUAGUAAAAAAAAAAUCUUUGUACUAGGAAAUAUUUAAAUUAAACUAAUCAAGUCUGCUAGGUUUCUUAAAAUUUUAAACAAUGUAAAAAUAGUCAUUAAUUUUGAAAAACAAAAUUAAGAAAACAUAAUUUCAAUAAUUAUAAAUUUGUAACGAUUCCUUUAUUUUGAAAAGUUAAUUACGUGAAGUUAAUGGAAGUGUUAACUUAAAAGAAAAACAAAAUCUAUUUCUUUAGCCCUAACCGAUUUACUAAAAUCAUGGGAUCCAGUGAAAAAUAAGAGUUUAAUUAGUCAACUCCAACGAUUAAUUAAGAAGCUUCUCAUUCGCAAAAAUUUUGAGAAAGAUUAAUUAGUCACAUUUUGAAGUCUUAGGGUUGCAUAGUUCGUGAGAUUGAACCCAUCUAUCCACCUGAAAAUCAGAUUCAUGAGUUUGCCAUAUUUGGAAUUUUGAGGAGUAAAGGAAGAUGAUGUAUUUGGAUGUGGAUAUCCAAUAAGUGUUCGAAAACAUAGAUCAUCUAUUAAUUUGACAUGGAAGAUGGGUACUUCUACGCUAUAUAUGAUGGAUUGCUUCUGUGAGAAAACAUGGAGCCACUCACUACUCCAGUUCAAGCUCGGAUAUUGCCAACAAUGCCCUGAUACUCGGGUCAAAUGGCGGUGCCAUCGAUGAAUGUGAUGGUUGCCAUAAGGCCUACAGUUACGCUGGAGAAUGUGGUUUUAGGACUUGUUUGGCUUGCAAUGAGAAAGGUCUCAUCAAAUGCCAUUUCUGCUCUAGGGUUUCCCUGCAAAAGCCAAUUGAAGGAGGUCUGAGCGCCGCCGCGCCGGAGAUGGUAGGGGUGCCGUACGACAAAAAAAAAUUACCAAUUGGUGCUCUGUUAAUUUGGUAACUUGAAGUAUUUAUUAUUAUUAUUAUUAUUAAUAGUCAAUUAUUUAUUCUUAUAAUUCAACAUUUUAAUUUAUAUUUAUUAAUUAUUUAAUUUUAAUUAUUUCUCAUGUUUUAUAUAUUUAUAAUUUUACUUUUCAUUCCUACAAUAUUUAUUUAUUAUUUUUGUAAAAUUUCUUUUUCAGAAUAUUUUUUAUUUAUUAUUUUAUGCAAAUUUUAUAUU
Molecule: long non-coding RNA, 1102 nt
Organism: Cannabis sativa
Lineage: Eukaryota; Viridiplantae; Streptophyta; Magnoliopsida; Rosales; Cannabaceae
Exons: 2
Source: RefSeq, a predicted model, not a curated record